UACGGGGGGGGCAAGCGUUGUUCGGAAUUACUGGGCGUAAAGGGCUCGUAGGCGGCCAACUAAGUCCGACGUGAAAUCCCAAGGCUUAACCUUGGAACUGCGUCGGAUACUGGAUGGCUUGAAUUCGGGAGAGGGAUGCAGAAUUCCAGGUGUAGCGGUGAAAUGCGUAGAUAUCUGGAGGAAUACCGGUGGCGAAGGCGGGUCUCUGGGCAAUUCCUGACGCUGAGGCGCGAAAGCGUGGGUAGCAAACAGG
This 253-nucleotide ribosomal RNA is filed under the name uncultured bacterium. RNAcentral describes it as "partial 16S ribosomal RNA". It matches the Rfam family "Bacterial small subunit ribosomal RNA", at positions 524 to 776 of the family's 1533-position model. The record is from RNAcentral.